This 71-nucleotide transfer RNA is filed under the name Fidelibacterota bacterium. Its description in RNAcentral is "tRNA-Gln". It matches the Rfam family "tRNA". From Rfam's summary of the family: Transfer RNA (tRNA) molecules are approximately 80 nucleotides in length. Their secondary structure includes four short double-helical elements and three loops (D, anti-codon, and T loops). The record is from RNAcentral. Lineage: Bacteria; Pseudomonadati; Fidelibacterota.
UGGGGUGUCGUCUAAUGGUAGGACACCAGGUUUUGGUCCUGGCAGUCGGGGUUCGACUCCCUGCACCCCAG